Long non-coding RNA from Taeniopygia guttata (zebra finch), 2656 nucleotides. The record is from Ensembl. Lineage: Eukaryota; Metazoa; Chordata; Aves; Passeriformes; Estrildidae.
GGAGCCAGUGGCUCCCAGUGCCCAGCACUGGGGUGGCUUUGGCUGGAAAAAGGCAAAUAUUGGGUGCCCAGCCCAGUGGGGACACUGGAGGGACAAUCCCCUCCUCCCCAGCACCGCAGCCCUCGUUAUGGGCACUGAAAAACCUUCUAAUUACCAGAGGUCUCCUCGGGAAAAGGAGGAUGCAGUGCAUUAUAAUAUUGAAAAAGCUGCAUCCAAUCUCAUUUGGAGGAUUAGGAAGUGCCAGCGCACACACACAAAUAAAAAGCUGGAAACAGGGUGGCUGGAAAGGCCCUCAGCAGAAAGGUGUUGGAGUUUGCAAGCUGCCCUUGGAGCACAGCAGGCACCGGGGUGAGACUGUGCCAGGAGAAUCCAUGGAGGCAUCACCAAACAGCUCCUGGAAUUUCUUCCUGCCCUGCAAACUCGGGGCUUUUGGAGGAAAAAUGUUUGAAAUAGGGAAUUUUAGGAGGGAUGAGUGGUUUGGAUCAGCGAGGAGUUCCUGUCCUGGGUGCAGGGACAUAAAUCCUCCAGCAGCUCCUGGGAGCCUCAGGGAUGAUUAAAUCCCAGGAUAACGGUGCUGGAUGUGGGGAAGGGCUGGAGCAGAGGCAGGGACGAGGAUCUGCCCUGACCUGGCCAAGAGGCAGCUCCGUAAAUCCUCGACCAUGGAAUUUUUCCAGUGAACAUUUGGAGUUUUGGAGGCUGAGGCUGUGCCUGCUCCUGGCUGUGGCCUUGGUGGUGCUUUUGGUCUGGGUCAGGACGUUCCCAGCUGGAGCAGGUCCCCAAAUCCUGGUGGCAGUGGCAGGGGUGACAUCCUCCCACAAAACAGGAUGAAAUCCCAGGGGUUUUCUGGGGGGUUUCAUCCCCUCCAACCUCUCCUUGCUGGAUCUGCAGCCCCUGGAGCACCUGGAAAGUUGCUCCUGGCCAGAGGGUUCCCAGCAGGACCAUUGCCCAGCCUGGCCCAGGGCAGGAGAUUAUGGAGCUUUGGAGCAGACACGUGGGAUGGCUGUGUCCUACUUUUGGAGAGCAGAAUCCAGUAUUAAAAAAAAAAAAAAGAAAAAAAAAGAAAAAGGGCACGGUUGUGGCGAGAGCAAAUAUAGCAACAAAGCCCUGCCAGGGUGACAUCCUCACCAUGGUGACAUCCCCACAGCCUGGCAUGUCCCCUGGGAAUAUGGAAAAGGGUUUGUUUGCCCCCCCAGAGUCUCAUCCUCCCCACUGGGGAAGCAUCUCCAGACACAUUUCAGGCUGACACGAGCAGCGUCCUCCUCUCUGUCCUCGUGUUCCUGUCCCUGUUCCUGCCCCUAUUCCUGUUUGUGUCCCCAUUCCCAUCCCUGCCCCAUUCUCAUCCCUCACUCAGUCCCAUCCCAGCCCCAUUUCUCACCCCCAUUUCCCACCCCCAUCCCCAUCCCCAUCCUAUUCCUCAUUCACUGUUCCCCAUCCCAUCCUAAUCCCCAUCCCCAUCCCCAUCCCGGUGUGGUGAUUCCCCUCCCUGACUGGGAGCCCUCCCUCACCAAUCAAUGCCAAAACUGGAGCCAAUUAACCCCUUAAUCCCCGAGAGGAGGCCAAGGGAGCUGGAGCAGCAGGUGCUGCAGGGGGACAUUCCCAACAUUCCUGUGAAAUCUGUGACUCAGCCCUGGAAUUACUGCCGGUGCUCCAUUAUCUCAGAUCAAUAGAACAGUUAUUACUUAAUGGGCUAAAAUUAUCAUUCUGAGGACCCAGAUCUGCCUGUUCUGGUGCUGUUAACUGAGGGGGGGCUUAAUGAAAAUGUAAAUCCAGGUCCAUUAAUCAAACAAUUAUUUGGGAACCACGAGACAGCCGGCGCUGAACCUAAUUAAGAAAUAAACAAAGUUAAUCAGUGAGCAGAAAACAUUUACUAAUCAGAGAGGUACAUUGCAAGCAAGAAAUACCAGGGAAUAAUUUAUUAAACAUUCCCAAACCUGCUCCACACCUUAAUAACCUGACAUUCCAGCUUCCAGGAAGGCCCAUCCUGGGUUUAUUAAAGCAUUUGUUCUGCUUUAGGGUCUACUGGGUACUGCAGAACAGAAACUUAUUACUCUGCCAGAAGAAUAAUUGCAUCGAUUUCAAAUAAUAGGGCCAGGGCCCCAUUGGGGACAGGGGGUGGCACCUGAUCCUGGAGCUGUUUGGGUUUAAUUAUUGGCAUUUAGAGCUCACCCAGCUCCAAAGUUAAUUCUGAUAAAAAUAGAAGAAUUGCAACGACACCUAAAGAUGGAGCUGGUGACAUUUCCUUUCCUGGAAAACCUGCUUGUCUGGGAUAAAUGGGAAUAUUCACUCUGAAAUUCCUCCUGCCCAGUGCCACUUCCCAUCAUCUCCAAUAUUUCCAAAAUAGGAAAAGCUGCAGGUCCCUAAGCUGCUUUGCAGUGUCCCCUUUGACCCUGCAGCAGGGCUGGGGUGUGGUUCUGGGGUUUUAUCCAUAAAUCCGUGGCUAGGCAGGAUUCCAGUGCUCCCAUCCCAUUCCUGCUCCUUUCCAUCUCUGGGAUGGAGAGGGGUGGGGCAGAAAAUCCCUGGAAUUGGGGGGCUGGAAGGAGACCCCAGCCUUGAUACCCUCAAACCCCCCAGUGCUCAUCCCAAUCCCUUUUCCUUGUCUUUUCCCGGAGCCACAAUUAAGGCCAUUUCCCCCCAGCCAGGCUUAGCUGUUUAUCCA